GUUUACAGUCCCACCAACAGUGUAAAAGUGUUCCUAUUUCUCCACAUCCUCUCCAGCACCUGUUGUUUCCUGACUUUUGAAUGAUUGCCAUUCUAACUGGUGUGAGAUGGUAUCUCAUUGUGGUUUUGAUUUGCAUUUCUCUGAUGGCCAGUGAUGGUGAACAUUUUUUCAUGUGUUUUUUCACUGCAUAAAUGUCUUCUUUUGAGAAGUGUCUGUUCAUGUCCUUCGCCCACUUUUUGAUGGGGUUGUUUGUUUUUUUCUUGUAAAUUUGUUUGAGUUCAUUGUAGAUUCUGGAUAUUAGCCCUUUGUCAGAUGAGUAGGUUGCGAAGAUUUUCUCCCAUUUUGUAGGUUGCCUGUUCACUCUGAUGGUAGUUUCUUUUGCUGUGCAGAAGCUCUUUAGUCACAUGAUUAUCUUAAUAGAUGCAGAAAAGGCCUUUGACAAAAUUCAACAACGCUUCAUGCUAAAAACUCUCAAUAAAUUAGGUAUUGAUGGGACGUAUCUCAAAAUAAUAAGAGCUAUCUAAGAAAAACCCACAGCCAAUAUCAUACUGAAUGGGCAAAAACUGGAAGCAUUCCCUUUGAAAACUGGCACAAGACAGGGAUGCCCUCUUUCACCACUCCUAUUCAACAUAGUGUUGGAAGUUCUGGCCAGGGCAAUUAGGCAGGAGAAGGAAAUAAAGGGUAUUCGAUUAGGAAAAGAGGAAGUCAAAUUGUCCCUGUUUGCAGAUGACAUGAUGGUAUAUCUAGAAAACCCCAUUGUCUUAGCCCAAAAUCUCCUUAAGCUGAUAAGCAACUUCAGCAAAGUCUCAGGAUACAAAAUCAAUGUACAAAAAUCCCAAGCAUUCUUAUACACCAAUAACAGACAAACAGAGAGCCAAAUCAUGAGUGAACUCCCAUUCGCAAUUGCUUCAAAGAGAAUAAAAUGCCUGUGAAUCCAACUUACAAGGGACGUGAAGGACCUCUUCAAGGAACUACAAACCACUGCUCAAUGAAAUAAAAGAGGAUACCAAGUAAUGGAAGAACAUUCCAUGCUCAUGGGUAGGAAGAAUCAAUAUCGUGAAAAUGGCCAUACGGCCCAAGGGAAUUUAUAGAUUCAAUGCCAUCCCCAUCAAGCUACCAAUGACUUUCUUCACAGAAUUGGAAAAAACUACUUUAAAGUUCAUAUGGAACCAAAAAAGAGCCCACAUCACCAAGUCAACCCUAAGCCAAAAGAACAAAGCUGGAGGCAUCACGCUACCUGACUUCAAACUAUACUACAAGGCUACAGUAACCAAAACAGCAUGGUACUGGUACCAAAACAGAGAUAUAGAUCAAGGGAACAGAACAGAGCCCUCAGAAAUAAUGCCGCAUAUCUGCAACUAUCUGAUCUUUGACAAACCUGAGAAAAACAAGCAACGGGGAAAGGAUUCCCUAUUUAAUAAAUGGUGCUGGGAAAACUGGCUAGCCAUAUGUAGAAAGCUGAAACUGGAUCCCUUCCUUAUACCUUAUACAAAAAUUAAUUCAAGAUGGAUUAAAGACUUAAACGUUAGACCUGAAACCAUAAAAACCCUAGAAGAAAACCUAGGCAUUACCAUUCAGGACAUAGGCAUGGGCAAGGACUUCAUGUCUAAAACACCAAAAGCAAUGGCAACAAAAGCCAAAAUUGACAAAUGGGAUCUAAUUAAAUUAAAGAAAAUCAUAUUUUUUAAGUUGAGAAUGACCUGCCUGAUUGUGGAGAUGAGUUAGUUGACCAUUCAUUCAUUCAUUCAUUCAGGGAAUGUUUUUUGAGUGACUGUUAGUAACAAUACACUGGGGGUUCUCAUUAUCUAUAAGAUGCUAUCAAUAUGUAUACAGAAAAGGGACUAGUUCUUUCAGCAUUUGUUAAACAAAUUACCUUAGAAGGCAACCCAAUUUAGGAGACAGGGUGUAGGCUUUAGAGGCAGACUGAUCUGAGUUUGAAUCUAGGUUCUGCUACAUACUAGCUGUGUUAUUUUUGACAAGUUAAUUGGUGUUCCAAUUUUCAGUAUUAAAUGAGAUAUUUAUAGCAUUAAAACAAUGUACCUAAAACAAUGUCUGAUACAAGUAGGCAUUUAACAAAUAGUCAACAUCAUGGCCAUGCAAAUAGGCACAAUCAACUUAAGUAUCAGCUCAGUUUGCUCCUGUUCUAAUAAUGAUAGGUCUCAGCCCACCUGGUUAUUUCCAAGACUAUUUUGGAAACAUUAUAGAAUCUUGAUUGAUAAACAAUACAAUAGAAUGAUGAUGGUUCAUAAGUAUUCAUAUUUAAACAGUUUGAAUAAAUGUUCAUAAUUAUUUUGCAGUUUAAAAUGGCAGUUUUUCUGGGUACAAGGAAAGAAGACUGCUUUUUGACAUUAUGGAAGGAAGCUGUGAAUAGUAUUAAAUCCCAUUUACAUUUGUAUGCUUUAAAAAUUUCUUGUAUAUAAGCCAGUUCUAAUAAUUUUUUUUUUUUUUUUUGAGAUGGAGUCUUGUUCUUUUCACCCAGGCUGGACUGCAGUAGUGUGAUCUUGGCUCACUGCAACCCCCGCCUCCACCUCCACCUCCGCCUCCGUGGUUCAAGCGAUUCUCCUGCCUCAGGCUCCUGAGUAGCUGGGAUUACAGGUGCCUGCCACCUCACCUGGCUAAUUUUUGUUCUUUUAGUAGAGACGGGGUUUCACUAUGUUGGCCAGGUUGUGAACUCCUGACCUCAGGUGAUCCGCCUGCCUCGGCCUCCCAAAUUGCUGGGAUUACAGGCGUGAGCCACCGCGCCCAGCCCAGUUCUAAUAAUUCUUUAUUUCCCAGUCGUUUAAUGUAAGAAGUAAAGAAAUACAAGUAAGUAUAAUAGAUUUUUAAACUUUCUUUCCUGUUUCCCGAACUUUAAAACCCAUCACUCAAUUUGAAGACAAUGCAUUUUUAUAUGUGUUAGGAAUUCACUUCUUCAUACUUUUCAGAUGCUCAGAGAUUGUGGACAUUAUGCCUUUCAUCCUUUACCUUUGGAACCAACUUGUAUGGGAGAACAACUUAUCAAGUAUAAUUGUACUAUGGUCACACAUGUCCUUUACUCUCCAUGUUGAAAAUAGAACUAUGACAAGGAAGCAAUUACUAGACCAAUGUUUUUUUGGCCCAAAGGAGGCUAGUGCAGAAUCAGACGAGGUUUUGAAGUGAUCUAAAGAUCUUGGAUCACCUGGGUCCUGGUCAUUUCAAGGCUAUAGAAUCUUAAUGUAAAUUGGAGAGAUAUAAUUAUUGAAAAUAAAUCUGGGUCUACUCUAAUAUUGACUUAGACUCAUUUCAAAGUCCUAACAUGAUCUUCAGCCUUCCUUUCAGAGAAACUAAUUCUCUAAAUAUGUAUUCCUAGACCCACUAUCAUUGUCUUUGUACUGAAUGAUUAUUGACAGUUUUUUGGAUUUCUAGAGACCUCUCCUGACAGAGAAAUAUCCUGGUCCCUAGGAAGCAUUCUCUGUGAUUUUGGUUGCUAUUGGUCUGUUACUGGGCUUUGGUGGAAACCGAAUGUUUGACUAUGGAUCAUCAAGUCACCAUGCAACCUGAACUACCUAUCAUGAACUGGGUGCUUUCUGACCUAUCUAGCCAUAAAGUGGGUCAUGCACAGCAGCAUUCCAUCAUCAAAUGAAAGUAUACUUGAUCGGGCUUGAGAAGGUCCUGAAGGCACAAAUAAGUUACAUGAAGAAGUGGCUCAAAUGCCCAUGGUCUCCACUCCUGCCACCCUGCCUCCUCUCCCCUAGCCUGCACCAGUGGCUUCAUGGGGAGUUCCCUAUGAUUAGUUGACAGAGGAAGAGAAGACUAAGGCCUGGUUCACAGAUGAUUCUGCAUGAUAUGCAGGCACUACCUGAAAGUAGACCACUGCAUUACAACCCUUUUCUAGGACAUCCCUGAAGGACAGCAGUGAAGGGAAAUCUUCCCAGUGGGCAGAAUUUCGAGCAGUGCACCUGGUUGUGUACUUUGCCUGGAAGGAGAAAUGUCCAGAUGUGCGAUUAUAUACUGAUUCAUUGGCUGUAGCCAGUGGUUUGGCUGUAUGGUCAGGGACUUGGAAGAAGUAUGAUUGGAAAAUUGGUGACAAAGAAAUUUGGGGAAGAGGUAAGUGGAUGGACCUUUCUGAGUGAUUGAAAACUGAAGAUAUUUGUAUCUCAUGUGAGUGCUCACCAAUGGGUGACCUUGGCGGAGGAGGAUUUCAAUAAUCAAGUGGAUAGGAUGACCUGUUCUGUGGACAUCACUCAGCCUCUUUCCCCAGCCACCUCUCUUAUUCCCCAGUGGACCCAUGAACUAUGUGGUCAUGGUGGCAAGGAUGGAGGUUACACAUGGGCUCAGCAACAUGGACUUCCACUCACCAAGGCUGACCUGGCUACCGCCACUGCUGAGUGCCCAAUUUGCCAGCAGCGGAUACCAACACUGAACCCUCGAUAUGGCGCCAUUCCUCAGAGUGAUCAGCCAGCUACCUGGUGGCAGGUUGAUUAUAUUGGAUCUCUUCCAUCAUAGCAAGGGCAGAGGUUUGUCCUCACUGGAACAGACACUUACUCUGGAUAUGGGUUUGCCUAUCCUGCAUGCAAUGUUUCUGCCAAGACUCCAUCCAUGGAUUCAUGGAAUGCAUUAUCUGUUGUGGGAAGUCAGGGACCCUGAAUAGAGGGACUGGGUGAAGCCACAGCAGAAGAACAUAAAUUGUGAAGAUUUCAUGGACAUUUAUUAAUUCCCUAAAUUAAUACUUUUAUAAUUUCUUAUGCCUGUCUUUACUGCAGUCUCUGAACAUAAAUUGUGAAGAUUUCAUGGACAUUUCUGACUUCUCAAUCAAUACUCUUAUAAUUUCCUAUGCCUGUCUUUACUUUAAUCUCUUAAUCCCAUCAUCUUUGUAAAGUAAGGAUGUAUGUCACCUCAGGACCCUGUGAUGAUUAUGUUAUCUGUAUAAGUUGUUUGUAAAACAUGCGUGUUUGAACAAUAUGAAAUCUGGGCAUCCUAAAAGAACAGGAUAACAGUGAUUUUCAGGGAACAAGGGAAAUAACCAUAAAGUCUGACUGCCUGCGGGGCGGGGCGGGGCAGAACAGAGUCAUAUUUCUCUUCUUGCAAAAGCGAAUAAGAGAAAUAUCACUGAAUUCUUUUUCUCAGCAAGGAACAGCCCUGGGAAAAGAAUGCACUCCCACUGACAGGCCCCUAAAAUGGCCGCUCUGGGAGUGUCUGUCUUAUGCAGUUGUAGAUAAGGGAUG
Homo sapiens (human) is the source of this 5183-nucleotide long non-coding RNA. Ensembl annotates it as MIR4280 host gene. The record is from Ensembl. NCBI's taxonomy places the organism in Eukaryota, Metazoa, Chordata, Mammalia, Primates, Hominidae.